UACGAAGGGGGCUAGCGUUGCUCGGAAUCACUGGGCGUAAAGGGUGCGUAGGCGGGUCUUUAAGUCAGGGGUGAAAUCCUGGAGCUCAACUCCAGAACUGCCUUUGAUACUGAAGAUCUUGAGUUCGGGAGAGGUGAGUGGAACUGCGAGUGUAGAGGUGAAAUUCGUAGAUAUUCGCAAGAACACCAGGGGCGAAGGCGGCUCACUGGCCGAUACUGACGCUGAGGCACGAAAGCGUGGGGAGCAAACAGG
Molecule: ribosomal RNA, 252 nt
Filed under: uncultured bacterium
Lineage: Bacteria
Description: partial 16S ribosomal RNA
Rfam family: Bacterial small subunit ribosomal RNA
Source: RNAcentral